UAGGGAAUCUUGGGCAAUGGGCGCAAGCCUGACCCAGCCAUGCCGCGUGUGUGAAGAAGGCCCUAGGGUUGUAAAGCACUUUCAGAAGCGAAGAAAUGUUCGAGGUUAAUACCCUCGAGCUUUGACGUUAACUUCAGAAGAAGCACCGGCUAACUCCGUGCCAGCAGCCGCGGUAAUACGGAGGGUGCGAACGUUAAUCGGAAUUACUGGGCGUAAAGCGCGCGUAGGCGGUUUGUUAAGUGGGAUGUGAAAGCCCCGGGCUUAACCUGGGAACUGCAUUCCAAACUGGCAAACUUGAGUAUGGUAGAGGGAGGUAGAAUUUCCUGUGUAGCGGUGAAAUGCGUAGAUAUAGGAAGGAAUACCGGUGGCGAAGGCGGCCUCCUGGACCAAUACUGACGCUGAGGUGCGAAAGCGUGGGGAGCAAACAGGAUUAGAUACCCCCGUAGUCC
This 449-nucleotide ribosomal RNA is filed under the name uncultured prokaryote. Its description in RNAcentral is "bacterial SSU rRNA". It matches the Rfam family "Bacterial small subunit ribosomal RNA", at positions 355 to 796 of the family's 1533-position model. The record is from RNAcentral.